Molecule: ribosomal RNA, 1015 nt
Filed under: Acinetobacter johnsonii
Lineage: Bacteria; Pseudomonadati; Pseudomonadota; Gammaproteobacteria; Moraxellales; Moraxellaceae
Description: bacterial SSU rRNA
Rfam family: Bacterial small subunit ribosomal RNA
Source: RNAcentral
CUAGAGUUUGAUCAUGGCUCAGAUUGAACGACAUGCAAGUCGAGCGGGGAAAGGUAGCUUGCUACCUGACCUAGCGGCGGACGGGUGAGUAAUGCUUAGGAAUCUGCCUAUUAGUGGGGGACAACAUUCCGAAAGGAAUGCUAAUACCGCAUACGCCCUACGGGGGAAAGCAGGGGAUCUUCGGACCUUGCGCUAAUAGAUGAGCCUAAGUCAGAUUAGCUAGUUGGUGGGGUAAAGGCCUACCAAGGCGACGAUCUGUAGCGGGUCUGAGAGGAUGAUCCGCCACACUGGGACUGAGACACGGCCCAGACUCCUACGGGAGGCAGCAGUGGGGAAUAUUGGACAAUGGGCGAAAGCCUGAUCCAGCCAUGCCGCGUGUGUGAAGAAGGCCUUUUGGUUGUAAAGCACUUUAAGCGAGGAGGAGGCUACUUAGAUUAAUACUCUAGGAUAGUGGACGUUACUCGCAGAAUAAGCACCGGCUAACUCUGUGCCAGCAGCCGCGGUAAUACAGAGGGUGCGAGCGUUAAUCGGAUUUACUGGGCGUAAAGCGUGCGUAGGCGGCUUUUUAAGUCGGAUGUGAAAUCCCUGAGCUUAACUUAGGAAUUGCAUUCGAUACUGGGAAGCUAGAGUAUGGGAGAGGAUGGUAGAAUUCCAGGUGUAGCGGUGAAAUGCGUAGAGAUCUGGAGGAAUACCGAUGGCGAAGGCAGCCAUCUGGCCUAAUACUGACGCUGAGGUACGAAAGCAUGGGGAGCAAACAGGAUUAGAUACCCUGGUAGUCCAUGCCCGUAAACGAUGUCUACUAGCCGUUGGGGCCUUUGAGGCUUUAGUGGCGCAGCUAACGCGAUAAGUAGACCGCCUGGGGAGUACGGUCGCAAGACUAAAACUCAAAUGAAUUGACGGGGGCCCGCACAAGCGGUGGAGCAUGUGGUUUAAUUCGAUGCAACGCGAAGAACCUUACCUGGUCUUGACAUAGUAAGAACUUUCCAGAGAUGGAUUGGUGCCUUCGGGAACUUAC